Molecule: transfer RNA, 74 nt
Filed under: Capsicum annuum
Lineage: Eukaryota; Viridiplantae; Streptophyta; Magnoliopsida; Solanales; Solanaceae
Rfam family: tRNA
About the family: Transfer RNA (tRNA) molecules are approximately 80 nucleotides in length.
Source: Rfam by way of RNAcentral
GCAUCUAUGGCUGAAUGGUUAAAGCUCCCAACUUAUAAUUGGAGAAUUCAUAGGUUCAAUUCCUACUUGAUGCA